Long non-coding RNA from Candoia aspera, 1788 nucleotides. RefSeq lists it as uncharacterized. Lineage: Eukaryota; Metazoa; Chordata; Lepidosauria; Squamata; Candoiidae. The transcript is spliced from 4 exons. The record is from RefSeq and is a predicted model, not a curated record.
CAGCUACAAAAUGGCUACACUUGUGGAUCUACAGGCCACUUAGCAAGCAAGUGCCUGAAUCGCUCCAAGGCCAUGGCUCCAGGAAGCUUUACAGACUCCCUUCCCAAGAGUAGGGGGUCCUCAGACAAUUAAGAGAUAAUUAAAGAGACAAUUAAGGAGAGCUCAGAUGGACAACAGCAGGCAAAUACAUUUUAUUGUUCUUGCUAGUCUCUGUUUAGACUCAGGCUGGAAAAUACAACUCUCUGCCCUUGUGGACUUGGGGGUGACAGUCAAUUUUAUAGAUGACAUCACAAUACAAGAGUUUAAUUUAUCCACUCAGACACUAGAAAGGCUGAUGCUGGUGGAAAAAAUAGAUGGGCAGAUACUAAGAGCUGGGCCUGUGUUAUGAUGCACUACCCCCUUGCAGCUGACGAUAUGAGAUGACAUGGAACUCUUGCCACUCCAUGCACUGGCUUCCCUACAGGUUCCCAUUGUGCUGAGAAUUGAUUGGUUACAAUGACAUAAUCCAGAUGUGCACUGGGAGCAAGGAAUAAUUUCUUUUCCAUCACCAAAAUGUCAACAACACUGAUUACAAGCUUUUAACUCUCACCCUCCCCCCAUGCCCAUUCAGCACACUGACUCUCCUGCCUUCCCAGGGAAAUACUCAGCCUUUGCAGAUGUGUUUGGAGAGGAGGAGGCUAUGGCAUCGCUUCCAUGUCAAGUGUGUAAACGCACUAUCGACUUGAAACUGGGAGCCCAGAUUCCAACUAGGAAGCAGUAUCCAAUGUCUACUCAAGAGUUAGCCACUGUGAAGGAAUUUCUGGAUGAUAAUUUGAAGAAAGGAUGUAUUCACAUUUCUAAAUCUCAAGCAUCUGUAGCUACUUUUUUAUUCCCCCCAUCCACAAAAUAUGGUUUUAUUAAGUCUGCUUAUGAUUUUAGAUUUUUGAAGCAGGUGACCAUUAGGGAUCACUACCUAUUGCCUCUUAUUUCAGAUCUCCUGGAUCACCUCCAGAGGGCAUGUGUUUUCAUGAAGUUGGAUCUGAAGGAUGCUUACCAUUUGAUCAGGGUGAAAGAGGGACAUGCAUACAUAACUGCAUUUGACAUAGAAAUUUGAGUACACAGUGAUGUCUUUUAGCUUGGUUAAUUGCGGGGCAGUUUUCUCCAGAUUCAGCAACAAGAUAGUUUCUGACAUUUCAGACAAAUACAUAAGUAGUGGUGUAUUUGGAUGACAUACUGAUCUUUUCAGAGGACCUUUUCUUGCAUGCAGGUCAUAUCAGAAAUGUCUUAAAGAAACUCCACAAACACAAUGCAAGCUUUUUGCUAAAUUGGAGAAAUGUAUGUUUGAUCUACCCCAGUUGGACUAUUUGGAUUACAAGAUCUCAGCUGAAGGUGUACAAAGGAACCCUGCAAAGCCCUCCUUCAGGUUUUGUUCCUUCAACAUGCACAAUAGCGGUUGUUCCCGCUAUUAAGGCUGAGCACAAUACCUAAAUCUUUAUAGUGGAUAAUUAACAGCCAGCAGUAAAAAGAUGGGAUAGCUGUGAGUCCUGGUCUGAUUGGAAGGCAUUAGAUAUUAUGUGGAUGCUGGAACUAAGCAGGUAUUAACUGGCUUGGAAUGGAGACUCCUUGGAACCUAUGUUUGAAUAGGAUACAAGAACCACUUCUAAAAAUAACCCAAACAACACUGUGCAACUUUUAGGCAGUACAAAGCCAUGAUCUUUCAAGGCAUGCUGAUUAAUUGCUAAGGACUAUGAAGCUUUAGCCAGGAAUUUACUAUAUGAAAAUCUUAGAGAAAGCAUUCUUGAUACAGAU